UUGAAGGCUCCAGAGUAAAUUUUACUUGGCCCUGCUGAGUCUGGAUUCCUCUCAGCUCUCUUAGCUGUUGUUUAAGCUCUUCUCUUCCUCAUCUGGCCUGUAUUUCCUGUCUCUGGUUCUUACUAUGAAGCGUGUUAAUAAGCAUCUGGAUGCCAUUAACAUGUUUUGUGAGAACAGAAGCAGGAUAAAAAGUAGAAAUUGAAAGCAGAGCCUGUGUAGAAGUAAAUCUGUGUUCUUUUGUGUUUCCAUCAGGAGCAAUCUCACAGAAGAAGACAUCUUUGCAUCUUCCUCAUGAUUGUGAAACAGACCCCUAGGCCUGACUAAUACCACUCAGGGCUGGGUGAAUCCACAGAGCAUAUCUGAGUCUCUUUUGAAGAGUCACCAGCAGAUGAAGUAAUUUGAGGCCUCACCCACACCACAGUUUAUUCAGCCAGCUGCGAAGACUCCACAGAAGACUCCUGAGCUGGCCUGAAUCUUCCAAUGAAGUCUGUUUGAGCUGUGCCGAGCCAAUACUAACUCCAGAAAGCCAAGGAUGGGAUUUUCAAGUAUGAGAAGGGUGAACACUGGUCACGUCAGACACGUCUCUCAAGGAAGUCAUCAAGGCGUCCCUGAUCCUGGUGAUACUUGCUUAGCAUUUAUUGGCUGAGUCUACAAAACAAAUUGUACUGAACAAACCUCUGCCAACCUUGACCACCAAGGAGCAAAACAUCUUCAGCCCAGUCUGUCUGGGGCCAGCACCAGACACAAACACGAGUUAGUGAGCUGCAAGCCCAGGCGUGAACCCGUGUAACCCAUGGACUUCCACACUGGGCUACGGCCGAGGAUUUAAGCGUGUUCGAGGCACCAUCAGGCGUGAAGCUGCUAUCGCCUCACUGCGAUCUAAACCUGUAUUUCAGCAUCUUCUGUAGCCUGACGGAGAAUUACAGCCUAAAACAUAAAUCUGAGUAAAACCGGCUGCGGAGCACCCGCGGGGGGUUUGGUGACGAGGCCUCUCAAAUGCCGGCCCGGGACGCGGGCACUGCGGGUCCCCGCGCUCCA
Long non-coding RNA from Corvus hawaiiensis (hawaiian crow), 1038 nucleotides. RefSeq lists it as uncharacterized. The record is from RefSeq and is a predicted model, not a curated record. The transcript has 6 exons. NCBI's taxonomy places the organism in Eukaryota, Metazoa, Chordata, Aves, Passeriformes, Corvidae.